RNAcentral lists this microRNA precursor (130 nucleotides) under Amphimedon queenslandica. RNAcentral's name for it is "Aqu-Mir-2014-P1_pre stem-loop". Lineage: Eukaryota; Metazoa; Porifera; Demospongiae; Haplosclerida; Niphatidae. The record is from RNAcentral.
UAGGUCGGGCCUGGGGGGCAGGUGGAAGGAAUGGCGGCCAAAAGCGGCAAGGGAGAGCGAUGGUUGCACUGCACUAGUUCUCUUUGCUGCUGCGGGCUGCUAACCUCCUGCCAAACAAGUCCGAUCUACA